UAAUACGUAGGGUGCAAGCGUUAAUCGGAAUUACUGGGCGUAAAGCGUGCGCAGGCGGUCUCGUAAGCCAGACGUGAAAUCCCCGGGCUUAACCUGGGAACUGCGUUUGGGACUGCGAGGCUGGAGUGUGGCAGAGGGAGGUGGAAUUCCACAUGUAGCAGUGAAAUGCGUAGAUAUGUGGAGGAACACCGAUGGCGAAGGCAGCCUCCUGGGCUAACACUGACGCUCAUGCACGAAAGCGUGGGGAGCAAACAGGAUUAGAUACCCUGGUAGUCCACGCCCUAAACUAUGGCGACUAGUUGUUGGGGAUUUAACAUCCUUAGUAACGAAGCUAACGCGUGAAGUCGCCCGCCUGGGGAGUACGGUCGCAAGAUUAAAACUUAAAUGAAUUGACGG
This 396-nucleotide ribosomal RNA is filed under the name uncultured bacterium. RNAcentral's name for it is "bacterial SSU rRNA". It matches the Rfam family "Bacterial small subunit ribosomal RNA", at positions 521 to 916 of the family's 1533-position model. The record is from RNAcentral.